UGGACUGGAAGGGGCGGAGGUAAGCAGAAACUGCCAGCGGGGUCCGUCCGCGGUCACACAUCCGUCCACGCCGCGACUGCAACACGCGUGCCUGGAGAGGGCGCCAGCGGCAGGGCCAGCUGCGUCCUGAGCUCUUUUCCAGCUGCCAUCGGCUUCGCGUCCCCGCUGCGCGCAGUUCGAAAGUCGGCCACCAUGGAGGCGCAGGCACAAGGUUUGCUGGAGACUGACCCAUUGCAAGGAAGAGAUGAAAGCACAGUAGCCAGUGCUGACUUCUCUAGCAUGCUCUCUGAGGAGGAGAAGGAGGAGUUAAAGGCAGAAUUAGUCCAGCUGGAAGACGAAAUCACGACACUACGACAAGUUCUGUCCGCGAAGGAAAGGCAUCUGGUGGAGAUCAAACAAAAACUCGGCAUGAACCUGAUGAAUGAGUUGAAACAGAACUUCAGCAAAAGCUGGCACGACAUGCAGACGACCACGGCCUACAAGAAGACACACGAAACCCUGAGUCACGCAGGGCAGAAGGCAACUGCAGCUUUCAGCAACGUAGGGACGGCCAUCAGCAAGAAAUUCGGAGACAUGAGAUCUCACUCCAUUGGGUACUCCAUUCGCCAUUCCAUAAGUAUGCCUGCUAUGAGGAAUUCUCCUACUUUCAAAUCAUUUGAGGAGAGGGUUGAGACAACUGUCACAAGCCUUAAGGUUGUCUUUAGAAGAAGGAGAUAUGAAGAAGCGAAAGAAGAAUAAAGAGCAACCUAUUUUCCUUUGCUUUUAGGAAACUGGAGUGACAAAUUCCUCAUUUCUUUGUUCUUCUCAAGAAUAAAUAACAGAUACAAAGACGAAAGUAGGCGGGAUGAACCACAGCGGAGGCAGUUUUGAGGAGGUCCUCAGCUCCACGGCCCAUGCCAGUGCCCAGAGCUCAGCGGGGGGGCCCCUGCGGGCCGAGGAGGAGGAGCUGCAGUGCUAGGUGCAGCCAGCUGGAGCAGCCUGCGGCCACAUCCAGAAGCCCCCGCACCGCCCAGCCCAGCUCUGCCUGUGCAGAUCCAGAAAUGAAGACCAAAACCCCACUGGGAAAAGCUGGGGUCUUCACGCUAUUAUUCAAAUGGCCUCUCCAGAAAGUUUAAUAAAAUGAUUUCCAUUUGUGUGUGUAUUGAUGAUGAACCCACUUGACCAGCACGCUUGAGUAUUCGUAGAUUGUCAACAUGUCUCAACAUGCACAGGCACACAAUUGGUCAAAAUUCUUGUCUGUGUAAUUCAAUGUGUUUUUCCCAAACAUGUAGCUCCUAGAUAUUUGCUUUGAGUUGUGCGUGGCCACCUUUGAGCAUGGCCCUGAUGGCUGAGGGAACAGUCCCUUUCUGUUCCUUUUCAUGACUGUCUCCGGCAGCAGCAGGACUUCCUGCAAAUUUCAUCCACUGCUUGUGACCUUCCUCACCUACAUCAACUAUGUGUUUAUUUAAACAAUUAAAAUAACUGAUUUUGAUGGUGA
This is a non-coding RNA of Oryctolagus cuniculus (rabbit), 1477 nucleotides long. The record is from RefSeq and is a predicted model, not a curated record. Lineage: Eukaryota; Metazoa; Chordata; Mammalia; Lagomorpha; Leporidae.